RNAcentral lists this ribosomal RNA (279 nucleotides) under uncultured bacterium. Its description in RNAcentral is "partial 16S ribosomal RNA". It matches the Rfam family "Bacterial small subunit ribosomal RNA", at positions 506 to 784 of the family's 1533-position model. The record is from RNAcentral.
UGCCAGCCGCCGCGGUAAUACAGAGGGUGCAAACGUUGUUCGGAAUCACUGGGCAUAAAGCGCACGUAGGCUGCCAGGUAAGUGUGAAGUGAAAGCCCACGGCUCACCCGUGGAACUGCUUUGCAAACUGCUUGGCUAGAGGAUGGUAGGGGAGAGCAGAACUCGCGAAGGAGCGGUGAAAUGCGUAGAUAUCGCGGGGAAUACCCGUGGCGAAGGCGGCUCUCUGGUCCAUUUCUGACGCUGAGGUGCGAAAGUGUGGGGAGCAAACAGGAUUAGAUA